UACGUAUGGUGCAAGCGUUAUCCGGAUUUACUGGGUGUAAAGGGAGCGCAGGCGGCGCGGCAAGUCUGAUGUGAAAGCCCGGGGCUCAACCCCGGUACUGCAUUGGAAACUGUCGUACUAGAGUGUCGGAGGGGUAAGCGGAAUUCCUAGUGUAGCGGUGAAAUGCGUAGAUAUUAGGAGGAACACCAGUGGCGAAGGCGGCUUACUGGACGAUAACUGACGCUGAGGCUCGAAAGCGUGGGGAGCAAACAGG
RNAcentral lists this ribosomal RNA (253 nucleotides) under Roseburia faecis M72/1. RNAcentral describes it as "partial 16S ribosomal RNA". It matches the Rfam family "Bacterial small subunit ribosomal RNA", at positions 524 to 776 of the family's 1533-position model. Lineage: Bacteria; Bacillati; Bacillota; Clostridia; Lachnospirales; Lachnospiraceae. The record is from RNAcentral.